UACGUAGGGGGCGAGCGUUGUCCGAAUUUACUGGGCGUAAAGCGCGCGUAGGCGGGUUUUUAAGUUGAGGGUGAAAUUCCGAGGCUCAACCUCGGAACUGCCUUCAAAACUGGGAACCUGGAGGUAUGGAGAGGGAAGUGGAAUUCCUGGUGUAGCGGUGAAAUGCGUAGAUAUCAGGAGGAACACCUGUGGCGAAGGCGGCUUCCUGGCCAUAUCCUGACGCUGAGGUGCGAAAGCUAGGGGAG
RNAcentral lists this ribosomal RNA (245 nucleotides) under uncultured bacterium. Its description in RNAcentral is "partial 16S ribosomal RNA". It matches the Rfam family "Bacterial small subunit ribosomal RNA", at positions 524 to 768 of the family's 1533-position model. The record is from RNAcentral.